AGAGAGGAAGAGGAAAAUGCAGACUGGCCGAGGGAGGGGUCAGACACAAGGAAAAAUAGGAGCAGCCAAAUAUCCAUUCUGAAGCUGUAGGGGGAGCUCUAUAGAGCAACCUGCGAGAAAUGAGCAAAGAAAUG
Etheostoma spectabile (orangethroat darter) is the source of this 134-nucleotide long non-coding RNA. RefSeq lists it as uncharacterized. The transcript is spliced from 3 exons. Lineage: Eukaryota; Metazoa; Chordata; Actinopteri; Perciformes; Percidae. The record is from RefSeq and is a predicted model, not a curated record.